GAGCUUCUUCAAGACCGGCAAUGCAGCCAAUCUUAAGCCAGCUAUAGCUAAGGCCACUUCCGCCAUCGGAUUGUAAUUGUAGGACUGUUCCUCUUCUGCCGAGGGCACUAUUCUGAAAGAGAGUUUAAGAGGUUGUUUAUAGAGGACAGUAAGAGAACAAAUUCUAUCCAUAAAGAUACAUAAUGAUGAAACACCUAGUAUGGAGAUGACCAAGUAAAAUGGGAAAAUAGGAGCGAAAGCUAUAAAGAAAAAUUUCCCCUCUUCUCCUUGUUUUUUCUUGGUGUGGACUGUGGAAUGGCUUGAAUAAAUCUAAAGACGAGCACUGGAAUUGUUGGACGUGUGAUUGAUGAAAAACAUGUUGGAGUGCAAAAUGAGGAGAUAAAUUAGUCGACUGCAAUGGAGAUAGGGAAACCUACUGGCAGAUUCGUAGACAAUGGAACAAACUAAGAAUACUACUUUUAGCAUGGGAAAUUACCUGAAUAAAUGAUAGACGAGCAAUGAAAGUGCUUCUAGAUUGGAGGUAGUAGAAACAACCAGUGAAUAUAACAGUGGAUAGAAAACCUGUUGGAGUAGAAAAUCACGGACUAAAUUAGCCGGUUGCAGCAACAGAGAAAAUAAACAGAACCCUACAUCCAGAUUUGAUGAGGAAAACAGAGGAGCAUAGUGGUGAGCUUACACAGUUGAAGGAAUGAGGGACAGCUUUGUAGGAGCGAUGAGUCAAGGUUCAGCGAGAGGCAGAUAGUAGGUGUGAUCCAGCUACUUGAGAGGAUGCUGAAAUUCCCACCAAGC
Molecule: long non-coding RNA, 789 nt
Filed under: Triticum aestivum (bread wheat)
Lineage: Eukaryota; Viridiplantae; Streptophyta; Magnoliopsida; Poales; Poaceae
Description: long non-coding RNA (TAES_LNC013922)
Source: RNAcentral